RNAcentral lists this microRNA precursor (60 nucleotides) under Monopterus albus (swamp eel). Its description in RNAcentral is "Mal-Mir-103-P2b_pre stem-loop". It matches the Rfam family "mir-103/107 microRNA precursor family", at positions 11 to 70 of the family's 78-position model. From Rfam's summary of the family: This family consists of the mammalian microRNA (miRNA) precursors mir-103 and mir107. Animal miRNAs are transcribed as ~70nt precursors and subsequently processed by the Dicer enzyme to give a ~22nt product. In this case the mature sequence comes from the 3' arm of the precursor. The record is from RNAcentral. Lineage: Eukaryota; Metazoa; Chordata; Actinopteri; Synbranchiformes; Synbranchidae.
AGCCUCUUUACAGUGCUGCCUUGUCUGAUCAUGUUCAAGCAGCAUUGUACAGGGCUAUGA